AGUGAACGCUGGCGGUAGGCCUAACACAUGCCAGUCGAACGGCAGCACAGUAAGAGCUUGCUCUUACGGGUGGCGAGUGGCGGACGGGUGAGGAAUACAUCGGAAUCUACUUUUUCGUGGGGGAUAACGUAGGGAAACUUACGCUAAUACCGCAUACGACCUACGGGUGAAAGCAGGGGAUCUUCGGACCUUGCGCGAUUGAAUGAGCCGAUGUCGGAUUAGCUAGUUGGCGGGGUAAAGGCCCACCAAGGCGACGAUCCGUAGCCGGUCUGAGAGGAUGAUCAGCCACACUGGAACUGAGACACGGUCCAGACUCCUACGGGAGGCAGCAGUGGGGAAUAUUGCACAAUGGGCGCAAGCCUGAUCCAGCCAUACCGCGUGGGUGAAGAAGGCCUUCGGAUUGUAAAGCCCUUUUGUUGGGAAAGAAAAGCAGCAGGUUAAUACCCCGCUGUUCUGACGGUACCCAAAGAAUAAGCACCGGCUAACUUCGUG
Molecule: ribosomal RNA, 492 nt
Filed under: uncultured bacterium
Lineage: Bacteria
Description: partial 16S ribosomal RNA
Rfam family: Bacterial small subunit ribosomal RNA
Source: RNAcentral